GGAAUUGAAGUGGACCUAGAAGGCUACGCUGAAGCUUCGGAAGGCCACGUUCCGUAAGGCAAGCCACAGUUCCAAUCUUUGAUCAUAUUGAAACCUAGUAGAGAACCACUUAGUUAUUUUAUGCAUUGAGUAUUUAUAAAAUUAUUUUGCGUAUGAAUUAUUUUUGAAUAAACUUGUUAGUUUAGUUAUUACCCAAUAUUACAUUGUUAUUAUUGGCCAGAUCCAUGAAUUGCUAUAUCACGUCCUUUGAUAACCUAGGUGUAGAUUUAUAUACUUCACAAUAAUAUUCUAGUGGAUAAGACCACAAAAUAUCUAUACUCAUAUACAUGGUUUACCCGUUGUCACGUGGUGGCGUGUCGGGUGAUAUAAAAUAUGUUAUUUGAUAUGAGUCACUCGCCUGGAGUGAUAUGGAAGAUUAAUUCCGGAUGAAGAUGGAUGUUGUGGUGUGUUAGGCCGUGCAUAUUGUUAUAAUUAUUUUGUUGAAAGUGUAUAUUUACACUUAAAGUAUGCACGGGCCUGUGCUAGUUUUGGUGGCUUCCCUCGGAUAUAAGGACUACCCCCUUAUGCCAUGGAAAAUGAUGUAAUUUGCGCCCAUCCACAGGACCAAGUAAUCAGACUUAGCCUAGUACAUGGUCCCACUAUAUGAAAGACUGUAGGGUGGCUCUAUGAGCAGGUUUGGGGUGGACAUGUGGAAGGGGCUUCGGCCAGGUUGACAUGAUCCGCAACGGUGGAACCCAUGAAAGCAGCGACCGUCUAGCCUUGCUUAGGCCCAGCAAGUGCCCGACUGCUAGGACGGAUCAAUAUCCCACUGGGCAGUAACUAGUAGUAAGUGGGACUCUCGAACGGCUAUGUUGUCCUCAGCCUAGCUCGCUGUUGACAUCAGGUGGGUAAAGCUAGGCAGUCUCUGCAGAGAUGAGUCUUAAAUCAUUCGAAUGUGCCGUGCUUCCGGUUAAGAAGCUAUGUCAUUGGGUGAUUCCUAUUUAUCAUGGUAUGAGUAGAUUUUAAAUUAAAAUAUGGAAUAUGAUGAAGAUGAGGAUGAAUGGUGAUUAAUAUUGCUACUAUUUUAAAAUAAUGAUUUACAACUGUUUGCAAAUGAAAUGUUUUACAAAGUAGUAAAAAACUAUUUAUAAUAGGCUUGUUAUGAAACCUCCUUGAUGAACUAUAUUCUUCUUUGUACGCCUUGCACAUAUUCUAUUUGUAUUAUUAUGGAUGUGGCUUGCUGGGUACCUCGGUACUCACCUCUUGCAUAAAAUGUGGUUCAGACGAUCGGUUCUUCCCUGAGGAGGCGCAGGAAGGGGAAGAAUUCUAUGGUGCUGACGAGUUCUUGUUCUAGGUCGAUCUGCUCUCAGGCGUUGCCUGUGGUGUUUUUAUCCUAUUUUGUGUAUGGGUCUUCUGUUUGUGGGGAGUGUGUUUGCCCUGUCGGCCCCUAAAACCUGUCUUAGUUAUCUUUUAUGUAAUAAUUUCUAUAAAAACUUGGGUAUACGUAUCGAAAGUUGUUCUGUAUAUCAAUCUGUGCGCGAUCGAAAUCCUGGACGGUUGGGUGGUUUCGGGAUACCAUACUCAAACCGGGUAUCCCCACACAUACUAUGUUUACAUAUUUAUCUGAUAUUGUUCCUUGAAAUAGAUAACUCAUUAUUGGUUAAUGAAUAUGUGAUUCUUUCAUGAGAUUCUUUAUGUUGUAUGUCACUAUUUCUAAAGGAUCACUGAUCAAAUAUCAAAUGUGGAACAAAUAUGUUUAAAUAAUCAGCACAUGUAUUAAUUGAUGAUUAUGUCUCAUGGAUCAUGGUAUAGAGAUACUAAAUUAAUAAUGUGGACACAUGUUGGGGAACAUAUUGUUGGAUAGACCCAACAUGAGACACUGCAAGAGCCAUAUGUGUUCUGUCAUCAGUGAUCUCAUUUAGUGUUGGUGUCGAAUCCUUAGACUUGAGAUUAUCAUGGUUCCCAACAUAUGUAGUAGCUUACUUAGAGACUGCUAAACGCUACUCUGUAAUUGGGUAGUUAUAAAAGUAGUUUUCGGGUAUGCUAUGAAACAUGUAGUGGGAUAUGAAAAAUCAAGAUGGGAUUUGCCCCUCCUAUGAAAAGAUAUCCCUAGGCCCCUCGAUGUUAUAGAUUAUGAAAGUGCAUGGCCAUGCCAAAGGUGAUUGAGGAGUCAAUCACAAGUAAUAUAUAAUCUAUCACAAGUUCGAGUGAAUGAGCUAUUAGAGGAUGGCACAUAUCUAGCCUUAAGCUUAAUCGAUAUCGUGAGGCAAAGGGGUUCAUACAAGUAUACACUAGAGGUUCAGCCGAUAUGAUCUUUAUGUAUGUCCGGUGGGUCAAUACAUUCGGCUAGGGACCACUAUUGACACAUGGACCGAAAAAGAGUUUUCGGGUUACAGGCGAGUGUAUAUGAACCUAUAGGGUUACACACUUAAUGGGCUGGAAUAAGGGGAAUGGAUGGAUAUCCAAUAUGAGCUUAAUUCGGAUAGGGAUCCGAAUAUAAAUCCUACGGGCCUUGGAGGCCCGAGUCGUGGAUCGUAUAUAUUCGUGAGGGGUGUGACCGGCGGAGGUAUUGCAUCACGUGAGAAACCCUAGCCGCCGCUCCCCUCCCCGAGCAAAACCUUAGCCGCGCGCGGGUGCUAGCACAUCUGCACGUGGCGUUCUGUCCCUAUACGUGUGGAUACCGAUAGAGGCGCCGCUGCUCUGCGGUGCUGAUCGGCGUGGGAGCACGGCGAGGAGAACGCACGAGGAGGAGAAGGUCGAGCCGGUGCGAUCGACUACUUCCUCUACAUCAACGCGCGCUACAUCGUGAGGGUUCCUUUGCCUUCUUAGCGCUUUCUUCUACUGCGCAGCGCGUCGAGUGGUAACGAUCUAUGAUCUAAGACUUGCUUGGUUCCUGGUUUACGCGGUAGAAAAUUUUGAUUUAUGCUAUCGUAGCUUACGCGUAUCCCUACACACUAAAACCGGCACCUAUGUUUGACAGUACAAAAGGUGCCGGUUUACAGGGUGGGUCCCCCAACAGCUAUAGUUCAGGAGGUGAAGGGUGAAAAAUGUCGGUUCUUAAAAUAAAAUCAAUCUCUUUCACCAAAAAGAUGCCGGUUCUAGGGUGGGUCCCGCACCAACUACUCCGAUGGGCUGGGGAAUAUAAGGUGCCGGAUUUUAUAUACAAAACGGCACCUUUCUCUGACAGAGGUAAUAGGUGAAAGAUCUUUUUAAAAACCAGCAACUAUUUGAAGAAAAAAGGUGUUGGUUUUCAGGGUUUAGGCGGGGUGGCGUGAGCAGGCGGGUAGGCGGGAACGAUACUAUAGGUGCUUGUUUUACCACUUUCGACACUUAUAGUGUCCACUUGUAUUAGGGGUUCUGUGGUAGUGGAUGGUUCAAGGCCUCAAGGGCUAUAUGGACCACCUCUCGAAGCCGUCACUAAUAGGUACGAUUGGCCGGCUUAGCCGGUUGAUGCUAAUUGAAGAGAAACACCCGUGAUGUGUGCUUCGGAGAUAUAUAUAGACUUUGGCUGCACCGUUAUGAAUUAAACAUCGUGUUUUUGGUGUCAUCGUCUGAUCUUGCACGGACAGAUGUCUGGUAGAUCAAUUAUAUUUUCAAGGAGAGAUCGAUAGCUCUUGAAUGAUGGUGCACCGAUGCCUAGUAUAUAUGGCGACGACGACCGAUCGACCUUAUAGAAAGUUCGAGGCAACGCCAAGUCCUCUCUUGCAAUGUCACAAAUCACCAAACUCAGCAAGAAGUUGACAUAGUACGUACUCCCUCCGUAUUCGUAUUUUAAUUUAUGACGCCGUUGACUUUUUAUCAAUUUUUAUCCUUCGUUUUAUUUAAAAUUUUUAUGUAAAUAUGAAAAUAUUUAUAUCAUACUUAAAGAAUAUUUGAUGAUGAAUCAAGUUACAAUAAAAUAAAUGAUAAUUAUAUAAUUUUUUUUAAUAAGAUGAAUGGUCAAACGUUGAAUAAAAAGACAACAGCGUCAUAUAUUAAAAUAUGGAGGUAGUAGUAAUUAAGAUCGAUGAUGCGUACAAGCAUCCGGUAUUUGAUUUGGCCAUUAUUUCAGGCAAUCGUCACUCGAUUUUUCACUACUAUAUAUACUCUUUAUACAGUCUGGCAACCGCCAUUUGAACUGGCAAACGCGGCUAGUGGCACAAAAUGGCAAAAAGGAUAAGCUUUUCAAUGCGUAUAAACAUGCACUUAUGUAUAAGUGUUGCCAUCGUUGUUUGGUUAGUGUAGAUAUACUCCAUUUAACAUUUCAAACCAGCCAAGACCUGUUCAUAUUAUUGCACAAAUAUUUCCAAUUGGAUAAAUAACUCUGGCGAUGUUCUUCCGUGCAAUUUGUAAAGGAAGAAUCCGGAGCUUCAAGAGUUGGGUAAAGAAAUAUAGACUAACAUUUCAUUCGGUAAAAAUUCUACUUGAUGUUUGACUUUUUGAUAUGGAUAUGAAGGAUUGACAUUGGUCCAGUUUUAUAUUGGGGUAUCAUCUUCUAAAGCACGAGGAGUUUAUAAGAGGUUGAAAGUAUUUUUCAAUACAAAUUUACAAGCACCAUUUUUACAUUUUUAAACUAAGUGUAUUAAACAUCAGAGUCAAAGUUUUAAAAAUUCCAUAUGAUUUUAUAAUUUUUUUUGAGCAUUUCUGAUGCAUGUGCAUCACCAGAGGAGAAAAAACUAGAAGGUUGACCCUCUUCAUACCAUGUACGGUACAUUCGGAGUAAAUAAUUAUCCUGAGCCCUUGUUUAGUUUCCAACUUUUUUAUCACAUCAAAACUUUCCUACGCACAUAAAUUUUCAACUUUUUUCUUCAAACUUUUAAUUUUGGUGUGAAGCUAAACACAGUCUUAGAUAGGAGAUGACCAUUUUAAGUUUUGAACCUGUUUGGUUUGACAAUAAGGGUGGAUGAUAGCUAGAGGAAUAUUCUAGGAAGCUGUUGGACGAGGUCAUAUGGUAAAAUUGGCCAAACGAAGUACUACCCAUCUUCACUGACCUUAAUUAAUUAUUAGUUAUUUGAUUAGUGAUAAUUGGUUUAGUUCGCAUCAUUGGUAUUAUCACAAUAAGAUUAUUAUUACUAAAUAACAUACUCGAUUGGUUAUAGUCUACUUUAUUGUUAAUGAGUAGUUCAUUAUUAAUCAAUUGUUUACUAUUCUCAAUCUAUCCACCCUCGAGUUUAUCUAAUAUAACCAAACAAAAUAUUAACCCUUUCUAUCCACCCAACCAAACAAACCCUUAAUGGAUUGUUCAUCCGAAAACCAUAGAUGGUCAAGUCCUAUCAAGUAUUGCCCUUAAACCAAACACAUUGAAUUUAUGAGCUUCCAUUCAACGAAAAUCUAAAUCCUUGAUCGAUACAAUUAGGCUAUCUCCAGCGGUGCAUUUAAUCAAACCGUAAAAAAAUAUAGAAAAUAUUUGGUUCCAUUGCAUAUAUAACAUAAACGUAAACAUAGAACCUAAAGAAAAAGAAGCUCCGAAAAAUUUGCCGUCAUCCAACUUAAUUAGGGAGGAUAUGGUUCCCUCCCUCCUUGUCAUACCAAAAUCCUGUAUCAAAAUUUGAGAAAACAAUUACAAAUCAUGCGCCAUAAUUUAAUUCCCCUAUUUUUUUCAGAAAAUACGAAAGCAAAUCAAUAAAACUUAAAGUUGUGUUCAUUUUCACCUCUUCUCAACUUCUACUUCCUCGGGUUUUCACGCGCACACUUCCCAAACCGUUAAACAGCAUGUGUGUUGCAAAAAUAAAAUGAAAAUUGCUUUAAAAAUCAUAUUAAUACUUUUAGAUUUAUUCCAGAUAAAGCUUAAUUAAUCAUGCACUAAUGGAUUUGCUUGUGGGGAGGUAAAGUUCACAACUUUCACCUCUGAAAGCAUGAAGGGGGGGACCCACAUUCUCCUCCCAAAUGAGUUUUUAAAAAUAAAAGUAAGAGCAAAUUUUAUAAAAUGUUAUCUAUUAUGGUUCAAGUUAUACAAAACCACGUGGAUUUUGAUACAUGGCACAUAAUCCAGGGUAUUAUGUUUCUAAAAAUUUACAAUAUUACACCAUUAAUUAUUUUAACAUACUCCUAUAUCAAAAUUCUAUAAAGUGGAUUUAUCAUUUACAUGAUGGAUAAAUUCUUUAUAAAUUUAAGAUCUGAUUGUAUAACUAAAAAAUAUGUUAGAUCAAAGUCAAAAUGAUCAGUAAUGUGAUUUUGUGAAAUUUUAGGAUUAUAAUACCCAGAGUUAUGUGUCACCAUGUGGUUUUGUCCAAUUUAAACUAUAAUAUGUGUGUUUUGAAAUAAACUAUCGGAAAUGAAUUAGGAUACACUGAUAUGUCAGUUUUUCUAAAACUUAGAAAACAAAUGAAUAUAUUAUUUUAAUCUAAAGAAAGGAGUUGUUCUUAAGUGAGAGAGGUCAGAGCCAAAACAAUGAGCGCCAACACUACUAGAGGAUUGAUUUUUCUGGACGCGAUCCCCUUUUGUUUCCAUGCGGUUCGUAAGUGGAACCGCACAGAAAAAUAGAGGCCUGGUGUCAGGCUGUCGCCCACACGGAAAAAUCAAUUUUCCCGUGCAGUCCUCCUAAAUGAACCGCACAGAAAAAUAAACCAAUUUUUCCGUGCGGGCCUAUUAAGAACGCAAAAGUAAUCAUCCCUCCUUUCCCUCGUACCCACUUCAAAAUUUUCCUUUUUCCAUGCCUCGGUCCCAUCCCUCUCCUUUAUUCUCUCAGUGCUCUCUCUCCUAUCUCUCCUCAGUGCCCCUCCUAUCCUCUCCUCACUCCUCUCUCCUCUCCUCCCGUGGCGGAUGUAGGCGAGGGCGGCGGCCCGCACCGACGGCGACGGCGGCGGGUGUAGGCGAGGGCGGUGGCCCGCGGCGACGGCGACGGCGAUGACGGCGCGUGGUGGGCGUAGGUGACGGCAACCGCCCCCCGCGCGGAUCCGGCGGCAGCGGCCACCCCCCGCGCGGAUCCGGUGGUGCAACGGCGGCGGCGUCCGCCCCCGCGUGGAUCCGGCGGCGGCGGCCGCCCCCCGCGCGGAUCCGGCGGCGUGACGGUGGCGGCGGGCCUCCGACGACGGCGAUGACGAUGGGAAGGCGGUGACGGCGACGGGAAGGCGACGGCGACUACGGGAAGACGACGGGAAGGCGGCAGAUCUGGCGACGGCAACGGCGACGACGACGGGAAGGCGGCGGAUCUGGCCAUGGCGACGGCGACGACGACGGGAAGGCGGUGACAGCGACGGGAAGGCGAUGGCGACUACGGGAUGACGACGGCGAUGGGAAGGCGGCGACGGCUAGGGUUAGGGUUUUGUUUUUUCAAUUUUGUUUUUUUUUAUUUUUUUAUUUGUGCGUGUGGGCGACAUAAGCACCCGCACGCGAAAAUCGGAUUUUCGCGUGCGGUUGUGCCGCUCGCACGCACAAAUAGCAAUUUUCGCAGACGAAUUGCUCCAGACGGCCCGAAUCUCUGCACGCGAAAAUCCGUUCGACCACAUGGGAAAACCUUCUGUGUAGUAGUGCAAGACCACGACCUAGCUGAUCCCCAGGUAGAGGUCUAUACCGGCCUGUUUAGUUCGCGAAAAGAAAAUUUUUAACGUCACAUCGGCCUGUUUAGUUCGCGAAAAGAAAAUUUUUAACGUCACAUCGAACAUUUGACCGGAUAACGAAAGGGGUUUUUGACACAAAUAAAAAAACUAAUUUCAUAACUCGCCUGGAAACCGCGAUACAAAUCUUUUGAGCCUAAUUAAUCCGUCAUUAGCACAUGUGGGUUACUGUAGUACUUGUGGCUAAUCAUGGACUAAUUAGACUCAAAAGAUUCGUCUCGCGAUUUCGCCUCUAACUGUGUAAUUAGUUUUUUAAAUCUAUAUUUAAUGCUUUAUACAUAUAUCUAAAAAUUUAAUGUGAUGUUUUUGGAACUAAACAGGCCCUAAAUAACUUGAGAGAAACAUGUAUUAAAUGUAUCUUCCAUACCAAGAUUAUGUAUCUUCCAUACCAAGAUUAGCACAGUUGAAUAAAAAAAAAGUCCCUCCGUGUAGUCAAAUACGACAAGUUUUCUAGAGGAUCUAUUUUUGUAAAACAUGUAUAAUCUAAAGUACUACAACGUCAAAAGUCCAGUGCCUCUACCAUAUAAAAACUGCCAAUGCUAUUAAAAUAUACUAUAUGAUAACCUUGCAUGCACUGUUGACAAUGGGCAAUUAUGGGUUGCAAGAUGGAUUUGUUUUAUAGUUACAUUACGUGAUUUAUGUGCUCUUCACAAGUUGAACUUUAAUCAAUUGUCCCAAAAAGCUAGAAAUAAUUGAGAUGGUGCAAGCUAUAUAUAGCAGGAAAGACAUACACUCUGGAUGAAGGCUAAAAAUAAUCGAUGUGAUUACCUUCGUCACAGAAGCAAAAAUAAAGAAGAAGGACAAUUUAUUAGACUAUAUAUUAAUCAUCCAAUAGUUAUAAAUAUUUGGUAUAUUGUUGCAUGAUAAGAGAAUAAGAAAUAACAUUAACUACAUCUAGCAACCUCGGUUCUUAAACAAUUGUCACUGGACUCUAUUUCUAUAUAAUGUUUGACUACUUAUAUUUUAGCAAUAAACUGUACUAUGAAAGUAUGCUGUAUCUAAAUAUGAUCUUCAAUUAUCUUUGGCCAAAACUUCAUAAUUUAAAUUUGAGUAAAUUGUAGUUUGAGACAUGUUUUUUAAUCAAAGUUUCCCUUUGGACUACCUCCAAUCUAAGGUUUUCACAUAAAGCUAUGCAUCUUUACCUGGCACAAACAGUAAUUCUCUCUUAAAAAUUUGAGAGAAUCUCUUCUAUACCAAUGAGUUUAUUCGGCUUUAACAAUUUAUCAUCGACAUUGUCUCUUUCUAUAAUAUACUGUCGACUUUAUCAAUUAUUCUACAAUACGUCAUUGGGCGUGAGAAUACCUACAAUAGGGACAGCCCGUCAUAGAUUACAGGGAAUCUCGUGUUUGCAUAUCUAAAUCUAAGUUUUGAGCCCUUUGAGACAUACAAGAUUAACAAUUGAUUUAUUUCAUCAAAAGUUUAAAAAAAAGAGAGAAAAUUUUCACGUGACCUCCUUACACAACAUGGAAGUUUGUGUACAUGUUUCAAGUGUUUUCUGGUAUAUUUAUUUUUUAGAAAGAAAAUAUUUUCAUGUGGUAUAUGAGAGAGAAUUUGCUUAUAUAAGAGAAAAUAGCACAAAAUAUCUUAUGUAGUGUAUGAAAGAUGAUUUAUACUAAAAACAACAAUAAAAAAUUAUUUUAUAUAGCAUACAACAGAUAAGUUAUAUUUUUUAAAAAAUAAAAAUGUAAAAAAGAAAGAAAUUCUAUACAAAUUUCCAUGUUAUGUAAGGAGGUCACAUGAAAGUUUUCAUAUAUUUUUUAAACUUCUAAUGAGAUAAAUUAAUUGUUAACCUUGUAUGUCCAUAAGGGUAUUUUUGGUAUUUUUGAAAAGAAGGCCCCAGGCCCAAUGACUUAUUGUAGAAUAAUUGAUAAAGUCAAAAAUAUAUUAUAGAAAGUGAAAAUGUUAAUGACAAAUUAUUGAACUCGAACAAACUCAAUUGUAUAGAAUAGAUUCUCUCUUAAAAUUUGUUGGUGAUCAAAAUCAAAACAGGCUAACAGCGGUAGAACACCGGUCAAUGUAAACCAAUCACGUUAUCUACUCCCUCUGCCCAUUCGUCUUAUUUAAAAAAUUUAUAAAAAAAUUUUAAAAAAUCAUGCAUAAAGUACUAGUCAUGUAUUAUAUAAUAAUAAUAAUAAUAAUAAUAAUAAUAAUAAUAAUAAUAAUAAUAAUAAUAAUAAUAAUAAUAAUAAUAAAAUUACAAAUAAGAUGGAUGGUUAAAUAUUGUAAAAAAACCUGUGAUUGCAUUUAAAUGGUAGAGUACGUAGGGAGUAUAUAAGAUUCAAGGACGUACGAUUCAAUUCAUGUAUCACUUCCUGCCCUGAUGACGGCAGCAUCGCACCAGAUGAAUUUAACAAGAUCUUAUCCCUUUCGUACAUUUACUUUAAUUUUUAAGUCAUUUAGUCAACUUUGACCAUGCAUUCCUCGUAAAAUAUAUAUGUAUUUCAUUCGGUUCUUUCGAGCCUUGUUUGCAUUGGGCUCAUUCUAUAUAUCUUUUCAUAGCUCUCUAUUAUUUGCAAAAUCACCUUAAAAUAUAAAUAUUAGAAUAAUUUUUAUAUACUAAAUAUUCUAUAAUUUGACUACUCGAUCAAAUUCUAAAAAGUUUGACAUUUCUAUAUCAAAAUGCAUACUAUAUUGUCCUGCUGAGGGAGUAAUUUUAAGAGGAAAUUUGAUAAAUCCCAUCGCAUAUAAGCAUGACUUAGCCACUUAGGUAUUAGAAAAACACAAUUGAAAAUUCUCUCAUAGCCAAAUGAUAUUGCAAAUGAACACAUAAAUCUUUUUUUUUGCGGGAAUGAACACAUAAAUCUGAAAAGUACCAUCUCACCGAUCGAUAGUUUUUCAAUCCAUAUGCAAAGCAUCCAUUCAAGUUAGAGAAAAAUGAUACAAAUAAUUGUUUUGCCCUUCUUCCGCACAUGAGAGUUACCUAGGGGGUUGAACCCUAGCGCUCGCUGCCCCAUCUCCCCUCUUCUCCCUCUCCUCGCCACCGGAGAAUUGAGUGGUCAACCGGGAUGGCGGCGGCGGGACUAAACCAUGGUGGUGCCUCGCCUUCAGCGCGAGGAAAGUGGCUUGGUGCGUGGAGCAUAGGGAAGACGACGUGGAGACUACGGAUCCGGCUCUACCACAGCUAGGUCUGGUCGCCCCGUGUGUGUAUCCGUUGCCCCUGUGCCGGAUCUGGCCGGAGCAGCCAGUGCAACGAAGCAGCAGCAACAAGAUGCCACGGGGGUUAGUGGCAAGGAGGUCAGCACGAGCAAUGAUAGCGGGAGGCUAUGAUGGCUUGCGGCGAUAGGAGGCCCACGUGGGCGACGACGGCAGGAGACCACCAUGACCAGGGCCCAAGGGCAAGGAGGCCGAUACGAAGCUAUAGCAGGCAUUUGGUGAAGGUGAGGUCGACAUGGACAGAGAAGGCUGCGGCUGUUGCAGAGGGCAGGAACGGCUACUCGCAGUGCUGGCCGAGAUAGUGGUCAACGUGGGUAACGACUCUACGCCACUACGGAAUGCAGCGUCGGUCGUGAAGGUGGCCCAGUGGCACCGGGUGUGGUGGAGCUGCCGGCCGAUAGAGAUUGUUGGGCGGAGGAGUUCUGGGGUGGCAUCGAAGGUGUGGGAGAGGGUGGAUUUCCCGAGCCAGCAAUGACAACGUGUUCGGGCGCCGUGACCCCUUUUGGGCCGUUGUCAAGCAGCUACCCUUCCUCCUACUUGCAAAUCUCAUCGGCUGGAAAAACCAGUCUAGUUGGAUGGACAACGGUGGCACCUAGGAUGUCAUGACCUCCUUGAAGACGUUGCUUAGGAGGUCUUGUUCCCUGCCUUUGCCGCCUUCUCUCGGUUUGAUUGUUGGCGGUUCUUGAUUGUCAUCAUCAUGUUGUCAGGAGGGAUGAGUAUGUGUAUUUUCUUCUCUCUCGCCCUCUCCCUCUCUUCAACACCUCUACAUGAUGAUAACCAUAAACUUCGACUAUCUUCUGUACAGAGUCGGUAUGUGGGAAAUAUUUGCAACCCCCCUUAAAGUUUAGCAGUGAUCGCACGCAUAUGGCGGUCGGCUUGGUGCUAGCGCCUUCUUUUGGGUUGUGUGAGGAGCUGCCAGCGUGCGGUGCUGGUGUGUUUGUUUUUGUUUUUUUUCCCGGUUAACCUCCAAAGGUUAUAAUGUUGUAUCUUUCAUGCUAUAUCAAUAUAAAAUUUUGCACCAUCGGGUGCGAGUCGUUUCUUAAAAAAAAAAGAUUUGCCUUUCUUUAUCCAUGAACUUAUUAAAUGUUGCAUAAAAAAUAUCAAAUGUGAUCCAAAAAGUUCUCCAUUAAUAAAAUUUAAUUUAGAUCGAGAUAGAAUUUUGAAUACCUAGAACAGGAAAAAUGUUACUGAUAUUUAUAUUUUUUAUUUAGUUUUUUAUUUUCUUUCUUGCUCGUAUUAUGAUCUUUUUUUCUAAUUGCUAUAUAUUGUGUUCAAAAUCCAAACUUCUCAUUUUGGGAUAUUUUGCUUGCUAACUUAAAUAGCUUUACUGAUUUUUUGGGAUGUUAAUAUUUCUGUGGUUAAAGAAGUUUAUAAAAUGAACAGAGAAUGCUGUGACAGGUGACAGCAAUGAUUUUUCUCAUACUAACGGUUGCGCGUCGCCAUUUAAUUUGCUAUACAUGCAUGACGUACUUGCGAUGAUCUUGCCUAGGUUGCAUUUCUUUGCUAUGGCUUUCAACAAAUUAAAUCUAGUUUUAAAAUGCAAGAACUUUGAUUUACUGGGUCAACUAUGAGUCUCGGUCAAGGGGUCUGUCUUUUUUAGAGUUAAUGGAGAUGCAUAUGGAUAAUUCGUGGGGAAACUCUAUUCAUUUAAGAAUGUCCCCUGUUUUUACAUGUAGUCUAAAAAUCAUCAUUUUUUUAAAAAAAUAGUAAAAUAGAUAAAUAUGUGAUAUAUCGCUUCAUCACAAACAUACAUGUUUAGAUUCAACUUAUACAAAUUGAAAAAAAAUAAAUUUGACUAUGGAUAGAACGCGUAAUCACAGUCAAAUUUGUAUAAGUUGAAUUUCAACUUGUAUGUUUUUUAUUUUAACUUUUUUUAACAAAAAUUUAUGAUUUUUUAAAUACCAUGCAUAAAACAAGAAAACAAGAGGAUGUCCCUCGAAGGACAGAAACAAUCCACUUUCUAAUUCGUGCCACCCUAUACUUGGUCCAUAGUUUUUUUACUAUUUAUUAACUUUAUAAUCUAUAAUAUUUAUUGGCUAGUGGAACCUGUUAGCAUAUCAGCUGAACUGAAUGGGCUGUGAUUAAGAUAGUUUCUUAUGAGAAGGUGUUUUCAUCCCUCAAGAAAAUAUCUCUUUAUCACCUAAAUAGUUAUACUUUUUUUUUUAAAAAUGAUAAUUUAGAUUAAUAUGGCAUGUAUCACUCCAUAGAUAUGCGAGUUUAAAAUUCGACUUUUACAUAUUGUAACAAAAACAAUAAAUACAACUAUGAUUGUAUGUUAACUAGUUUCAGUUUUUUUACAACUUUUAAAAGUCGAAUUUGACGUCUAUGAAGUGAUAUAUAUCAUAUUUAAUCUAUGUUAUCAGUUUUUUUAUUUUUUUAUAACUAUUUAGAUGAAAUGAAAGAAACGAGAGGAUGUCCCAUCGGAGGAUGAAAAUCGAUCUCCGAUUCUUAUAUAUAGAGAAGGUAGGGUUUUGAAGCUGCAUCUAUCUAGCUCAGGUUUGCCCAUAGCCUUAGCUACCUAGGACGAAGCAAAGGAACAGCAAUGACUUCUGUUUCGCUUGUGUUGCUGCUCCUCUUGUGCAGUUACCAUUCUUUCGUUGCUCGUGCAGGAAAUGAAUAGAGUUACAAGGUUCUUGACCUUAAUCCUAGUAGGGCCGUCUGCUCUGAGCCCAAUGGUAGUGAACUGUCCAUAAAAAUCUCUCGUAUCUUUCUGCAACUAAAAUUUCAUGCAUGCAGUGAAAGUUUAAUAUACUUUGCAUGCAGUGAAAGUUUUAAUAUACUUCUUGUGAAAGUUCAAAUUUCCUAAGAAAUGAAAUUUAAUUUUUGCAGCGACCAUUCCGUCAUCCUCAGAUGGAACGAGCUCGGUGACGUUGAGCCACCGGUACGGCCCAUGCUCGCCGGCGGAUCCCAACUCCGGCGAGAAGAGGCCAACCGACGAGGAGCUGCUCCGCCGUGACCAGCUCCGAGCUGACUACAUCCGACGCAAGUUCUCCGGCAGCAACGGCACGGCCGCCGGCGAGGACGGCCAGUCGUCCAAGGUGUCCGUGCCGACCACGCUGGGCUCCUCCCUGGACACGCUGGAGUACGUCAUCUCCGUCGGGCUCGGCUCGCCGGCGGUGACGCAGAGGGUGGUCAUCGACACCGGCAGCGACGUGUCGUGGGUGCAGUGCGAGCCGUGCCCCGCCCCGUCGCCGUGCCACGCCCACGCCGGCGCGCUGUUCGACCCGGCCGCGUCGAGCACGUACGCGGCGUUCAACUGCAGCGCCGCCGCGUGCGCGCAGCUCGGCGACAGCGGCGAGGCCAACGGCUGCGACGCCAAGUCGCGGUGCCAGUACAUCGUCAAGUACGGCGACGGCUCGAACACAACCGGGACGUACAGCUCCGACGUGCUGACGCUGUCCGGCUCCGACGUCGUCAGGGGCUUCCAGUUCGGGUGCAGCCACGCCGAGCUGGGCGCCGGCAUGGACGACAAGACCGACGGCCUCAUCGGCCUCGGCGGCGACGCGCAGUCGCCGGUGUCGCAGACGGCGGCGAGGUACGGCAAGUCCUUCUUCUACUGCCUCCCGGCGACGCCGGCCUCGUCGGGGUUCCUCACGCUGGGCGCGCCGGCGAGCGGCGGCGGCGGCGGCGCGUCGCGGUUCGCGACGACGCCGAUGCUCAGGAGCAAGAAGGUCCCGACGUACUACUUCGCGGCCCUGGAGGACAUCGCCGUGGGCGGGAAGAAGCUCGGGCUGUCGCCGUCGGUGUUCGCCGCCGGGUCGCUGGUGGACUCCGGCACGGUGAUCACGCGGCUGCCGCCGGCGGCGUACGCGGCGCUGUCGUCGGCGUUCCGAGCCGGGAUGACGCGGUACGCGAGGGCGGAGCCCCUGGGCAUUCUCGACACGUGCUUCAACUUCACCGGCCUGGACAAGGUCAGCAUACCGACCGUCGCGCUGGUGUUCGCCGGCGGCGCCGUCGUCGACCUCGACGCGCACGGCAUCGUGUCCGGCGGCUGCCUCGCGUUCGCGCCCACCCGCGACGACAAGGCCUUCGGCACCAUCGGCAACGUGCAGCAGCGCACGUUCGAGGUCCUGUACGACGUCGGCGGCGGCGUCUUCGGCUUCCGCGUCGGCGCUUGCUGAUCGGCCGGACGCACGAACGUCGAGGCUGGUCUUGUACUGUCGUACAUAUGCAUGCAUGGAUCUCUUAUCGACUAGUUUGUGGUUGUGAGAUAAGAAUACUAUUACUAUAUACGUUUGCAAAAAUUCAUCAACACGUAGUUUUCAUCAUAAUAUAUAUGAGUGUAUUUUGAUCUUGUAUAAAAAAAUAAUUGUCUUGUGAUAGCAACACAAGAAAUCAAUGUAUUGACAAGUAGUGUUCUCUUAAUGAUUUUUUUAUGAAUAAUGAAGAGUUUGCACUUGAUUUGUUCCCAACUGGCAGGCACUUGAUUUGUUCGGGGAGGGCUAAUGGGUGGGUGAUCACCGAGAGCGAUCGGGCAUGCUCCUUCCCUUCUCCUCUACCUAUUGCAUCAUAAAUUCCAAAAAAAAUGAUUACCUAUAUAUUUAUCGAUAAAUUUUCAAUCAAAAAUUUGACAGAUGUAAUUAUAAUAUAAUCACCAUGUAAUUACACUGUAACUUGCAUGUAAUUACAAUGUAACUUUUAAAAUCUCUACGUAACAUGCUAUCUUGGUGAAACGGAGGUCGUGGGAACGAAUCCUCUCACAUGUGUGCGUGUUAUGACUUUUUUCCUUCUUCACUUGCAUAAAUCUUGAAACAAAUCUAACGGUUUAAAAUUAUGUAAAAGUUAUAUAAGUUACAGUGUAAUUAUACUACGAUUGUAUUGUAAUUUACAUUUGUCAAAUUUUUAGGAGAAAAUUUUUCGACAAAUAUAUAGCAAAAUUGAAAAAAACAACUGACGGAGCUUGGGGCUCCUCACCGGGAGACCGCGCAGGCCCCCCUUUGCCGGUUCGGCCGGGGGCCCUGGGUGAGGUUCUAAACUCCUGGUCUGUGUGUGGAAGGUUCGCGAGAAUGGAAAAAGCACAAGACACGGGCGAUGUAUACAGGUUCGGGCCGCUGAGAAGCGUAAUACCCUACUCCUGUGUUUUGGUGGAUCUGUGUAUGAAGAAGCUACAAAGUGCCUGCCAGCCCCUGAUCGUUCUGGGAUCGUUUUUUCCCCCUUUUCUAAGUGGGCAAGGUCCUCCUUUUAUAUCUCAAGGGGAUACCACAUGCACCAUCUCUCCCUCUCUUUCUUUUGUGUCGGGACUCAUCCUCCCUUCCCUCCAACUUGACUUCUCUUCAUUAAUGGACGGAGAUUUGUAUGGCUGCCGUCCGAAUGACCUUCUGAUGGGACGGCCCAUACCUACCUCCACUUCCGCCGGAAGCAGGCGCGACGUGGGAACAUGGCUGUCUGCUGAUGACAUGACCAUAGUCAGUCCGGUUACAAAUCGGUCAUUCUUGUCCACCACGUGUCAGUUUAACAAUCUGCAUGUUCGCCCUUCUUCAUACAAUAUCUUGCCUGUAAUGGUUAGGAUGAAGCCUGGCAUAUAUCUGACCGGAACCAACGUGCCAUCUCCAGGAGCUAACACGCCGGCUCCGGCUAGGGACGAGUGCUUGGAGGCUCUCGUCCUGACGGGAUGGGGCGAGGCGUGCGUCAGACCGCCUGUCGCCACCUAACCCACGAUCUGAUCGGUCUGUGACUGGUCACAGACCGGAUAAACGAGCGCGCUGCACUGCGUUACAUGCGGCGUGACGCGCUCGUCCAAACCGCAAUAAAUGUGGUUAGGUGAGCCCCGCUGUGCUCACCUAACCCAUACGCGCGGCGCAAAACCCACAAGGGGUCGGGGCGCCUCGGCCCUCGGGGCCGAGGCGGGAGCGGUCCAACCCCCUCGGGGAGACAGAGGAGGGCGAACACAUCACCCUCGGGCCCGACGCCCCCCGAGGGUGCCAGGCUACGUGGGCGAUUGUGUCUGCCUCAAGCCUCUAGUCAUGAUACUCCCGGUCCCAUGUCACCGACAACAACUUAGAAAAAAUUAAAAGAAAAUAGAAAAAAAUCUAAUACCCUUAAAAACCAAUGUUCAAAAUCCCAGACCUCCCAUAGUUUUCAGCGCAUUUUUUUUGAACGAAUCGGUGAGCCGCCAAUUUCAUUGAAUAUAGAAGGAGAAAACUGUACAGUGUAAAGGGAAAGAAAAAAACUCAGGACCUUUCGCCCUAGUCAACUAAGGAACAAGCCAAUUUCUCAGAUGAUGCGCGCCUGCUAAGGCCUAUAUCUUGGCCUCGUCCUUGAUUUUUGUCAGAAGACCACUCGGUGGGAGCUCCUUAUGCUGGAAUGUUCUGCGAUUUCUUUCAUUCCAGAUCUCCCAGACGACUAGGAACGUUAGGGAGCGUAGAGCCUUUUUGGGUGCCUCUUUUACACUUGUGGUUUGAUCCCACCAUUCUAACACCGACGAAACCUGCCACCAAUGGUUGGGGUGGAUAUUGUUGCACGCCGUCCAUUCCGCUAGGGUCGCCCAUAUUCUCUUUGUGUAGCGGCAGCCUGCGAGGAGGUGUAGAGCCGUCUCCUGGACCCGACGACAUAAGGGACAUAUGGAUCCAUUUGGCCAUCCGCGGGUAGAUAGUCUAUCAGAGGUCCAGACUCUAUUCUGAAUGACCAGCCAGGCGAAGGUUUUGCAUUUGCGAAGAGCCCAGGGCUUCCAAAUUAGGUUGUUGGCCGUUGUUCCAAGUAGUUGUGCAUUAUAGGCCGAUGUUGCCGUAUAUUGACCGUGGCUAGUGAGCUUCCAAGAUAUUUGGUCGUCCUCAUGUUCUGUCAGCUCUAUUGUCUGGAUGGCGGUCCAAACCGUGACAAGUUGGUCAAUCAGCUCUGUUGUCCAGCCCACGUCCGCUGGAAAUCCCAGAUCGAGCAGCCAUUGAUCUGAUUGCAAGGCAUGUUGGAGGGUACUAUUCUUUUUCUUGGAGACCGCGUAGACUAGCGGUGCCACAUCUUUCAUCCUUCUCUCCUGCCACCAGGCUGACUCCCAAAAACUCACAGUCGCCCCAUUUCCGAUUGUUAUGGAUGUCGCUGCUGCGAAAAGGAGCUUAUCGGUGUCAUCGCACGGCGUACCAGAACCCACCCAUGCUUUCUCCGGUGACUUCCAUUCCUGCCAAAGCCAUCGGAGGCGCAAAGCUCUUGCAAACUUCUCAAGGUUUAGGAUUCCUAGACCUUCGGAACCAGUUUUCAGCUUGCAAACACCUUGCCAAUUAACCAAGCUGGUUCCAACACUGAACUUUUAGGGGUCAUCUCCCUUCCAAAGGAAGGCUCUUCCGAAGCGAAUGUAAAGGACUCUACGGCCCUGUUUAGAUUCCAAUUUUUUUCUUCAAACUUUAAACUUUUCCGUCACAUCGUUCCAAUUUCUUCAAACUUCCAAUUUUAGCGUGGAACUAAACACAGCCUAUAUUCCUUACACAUGCGUGAACAUUUGUAUUCUCAAAGACAGCCCAAAAUUAAUGUAUGCUUUGGUACGGUAUAUGCCUGAUCUUUUGCCAAUUUGGAUGCCCACGUAUCCGACAGCUCUCUGUGAGAAAGCGGUUACAUUGAAAAACUACAAUGUUCACGAGGGAUUGGGGAAGCGUCGGCAGUGACUGUAUAUUUGGACACUCUUGGAUGGUCAGGAUAUCAAGCUUUGUCAGGCAAUCCAAGUUGGCAGGCAAAGAGUUCCAGCUACAAUCUGUGAUUGAGAGGUGAUGCAGAAGACCGAAACGCUCACCAAUCAUGGGUGGGUUAUUCGAGCCUUUACAACUCCAGAACAUAAGGAUUUGCAAUGCGGCCGGGAAUUCUCCCUGCUGCACGACCCCUUUUACUGACAACCAACUUGGGUAUGUCGUACCAUUAUAUUCCCUGAUGCAAAGGGAUGUAAUCCAGGCUGGUGGAUGGAGCUCCUCAAGGACCUCAGCUUGCAUUUGAAGCUCUGGACCGCUGCUCAUCUCCGUUACAGGUGCAGUUCUUGAUGCGGAGCGUUCGUCACCACCCCAACUUAGCGUCAGAUCAGUUAUAUGCCUCUUGUCAGCUAGCCUGGCUCGAACAGCCUCCUCUUUGCUUCUUAUAUUAUCAAGACAGUCAAUGAACAUCCUGCCACGAAGGUUGUUCAGGUAUUCCAGCUGGUGUAUCUCAUAUCCCUUCUCUUUCCUCACAGUGAAGCGAAACAGAUUUCGGAGCGAUUUCAGUCUCCCUAUGUUGGGAAUGUCCAAGCCUUUCCACGUGUGCAUAUACCGCAAAUUGACAAGGUUCCCCAUUUUCGCCGGGGAGGAAAACUGCAAAUUAACGAAAGGUGUGACCGAAAACUCGUGGAGAUGGUAAAGCUUGGCAAAUUCGGCUGGCAAAGUGAUGUCGUUGUAAUUAAGGGAUGGCGAAAUACCAAGAUAACGAAGAUGUUUUAGUUCACCAAUACAUGCUGGGACCGUCCUCAUAUCUUGCAAGUCCAAGUACACCACCCGCAAUUUCCUUAGCCUCAUCAGCACACGCUCAAAGUCGUUUUUACUCAUCUCCUUUAUGGAAUAGCACAUGAUUAGUGUGCGCAAGUUUGCCAGCUCCAAAAUCUGCUCGGGGAAUACUUCAUCGUAGAACAUUAUACAAACAUGGCGAACAUAUUUCGAAAUAUGUUGUACAAUGCCUUUCUUGAUUUCAACACGGUCGCUGCCAGCAACCAUCUUUGCUACGUCAUACAACGAAUCAUGAGCCGUGAAGUACUCCCCAGAACUAGUGUCAGAAUUAACCUUCCUUUUUAGCUGAAGAAAUGAGCACACCUGCAGUUCAUGAAAGUAGAGCUCGCCGACAUCUUCCAUAUCCUCCUCUCUUGCAUUGGUUGUCUUCACCAAACCCUGUGCUAUCCACAUGCUAAUAAGUCUCUCUCGUUCCAACUCAUAUCUUCUAGGAAAUAUGCUAUAGAAUUCAAAGCAUCUCCUGACAUCCAUAUCAAGCUGUUGAUAGCUCCAGAGCAGAGCUCCUGUGGUAGAAUUCAACACGUCGAGGUUUGAUGUUGCUCUCCAAUAAGUGAUAUCUGGGUUUUGCUUAAGCCGGACACCCACUAUUACUGCUGCAAUAGGUGACCUUUGUAGCUUUUCUGCAAUUUUUCUCCCAAGUGGUAUAAAAUCUCGAUCAUCAAAGCUUGUGCCUUCUAGUGCGUAAUGCAUGAACAUUGAAAAGUAUAUCUCCUUGUCCAAAUCAGAUAUUUGAAUAUAUCUAUUAGCUCGUAGAGCUACAUCUGUUCUUCUAGCUGUCACUAGGAUUCUGCUUCCUCUCUUCCCAACAUCAAGUGGAGAAAGUAAAUCUCGCUGCUCCUGGUCAUUCUUAUCAUUGACAUCAUCCAAUACCAACAAGAAACGUUUGCCUCUUAAUUCCUUCUUCAGCUUAUUUUGUAGUUCUCUACGAUCAGUAAUACUGGAAUGCCGGUUUUCUGUGAUCUCCUCAAGCAUAUCAUGAAAUAUGUAGUCUGCUCUCAAUGUCUCAGAAACAUGAAUGAGAAUGAUAGGGUCGAAAUAUUUGUCUUUAUCCUCUUUUUCGUAGUCACAAACAUAUUGUGCCAGGGUAGUCUUGCCAGAUCCUGCAAUGCCAUGUAUGCAAAUCACACGAUAACACUUACUGUUACUGGAGCUUGCUGCAUGAUCAUCUGGUCCCUCACGGAGAAUCCUAUGAAUGACCUCACGCUCCUCAUCUCGACCGAAUACCGUUGGUUUAGUAACAGGUUUAAUGCUCUGCCUGUAAUUGCUGGAAAUUGUAUUCCAUCUACUGCUUCUUUCCUGGUUCGAGAGAUGUGAUUGAUGCGAUUCGGUGCAAAGAUGUUUCCAGUCGUUCAAAAUUUCUUCUAUCGCUUCUAUUCUUUUCCUCAACUUCCUUUUGGCACAAAUAGUCAGGAAAGAAUCACUCCCCUGCAAGAAACAAAGCCUCAAAUGAUUACACAAGCUGAUUGUUGAAAAUAUAUGAUCCGCAUUUCUUGAUAUUUUGGGUUUACUUUCCUUCAAAGACUCUUAGUUCUCCUUUACAAUGCAACAUAAGAAGAAACAUAGGUCCCAUGGUACGUCAUAUUUGUAAACGAAAAGUAAUUUGUAGAUAAAACUUUUAUAUAUGUGUUCUUAGCGAUUUAAAAGUAAAUGCUGAAAAGUAAACUUCGAUGAAAAACCCCCAAAUCAACUCCAAAUUUAAGGUUGAAAAUUUAAAUUUUGACUGAUAAGCAUAAGUAUAAGCGAAAAGAUGAGGCUGAUAGAAAGCAGAAUGCAGAUAAGAAAAAAAAACAAAGAAACGUAAACACAUGAAGUUCAUGGCAUAUCUUUUCAAUUUUAUAGGAACAUAAAACAAUGGAAGUACAGCAGGAAAAGCACUGAAAAUAUUAAAAUUAAAGUAGAACAUGUGCCCAAUUAACAAUCAUAUUUAUUAUUUUCAUAAUUAAUAAUUAUACAAUAAAUUUGAAUCUAUAUAUUUCUGAAGUGAUACAAUAUUACAUAUUGAUUUAACUUGUUAAAUUCUUUAUUAUUAUUAUUAUUAUUAUUAUUAUUAUUAUUAUUAUUAUUAUUAUUAUUAUUAUUAUUAUUAUUAUUCUUCUUCUUCUUCUUCUUCUUGACGACAUGAUAUGGAAGAAACGGGAGGACACCAUAUAGUACUACCUUUGCCUCAAUUUAUGUAUAGUUUUAGAUUUCUGUGUGUAACGUUUGACCGUCCAUUUUAUUUAAAAAAAUUAUGAAUUUUUUUUUAAAAAAAGUUAGUCAUACAUAAGUACCAUUCAUGUUUUAUCAUCUAAUAACAAUAAAAAUAUUAAUUAUAAAAAUUUAUCAAAUAAGACGACGAUAAAACGUUGGAUAUAAG
RNAcentral lists this long non-coding RNA (21473 nucleotides) under Oryza sativa (Asian cultivated rice). RNAcentral describes it as "long non-coding RNA (OSAT_LNC000960)". Lineage: Eukaryota; Viridiplantae; Streptophyta; Magnoliopsida; Poales; Poaceae. The record is from RNAcentral.